This 581-nucleotide ribosomal RNA is filed under the name uncultured bacterium. Its description in RNAcentral is "partial 16S ribosomal RNA". It matches the Rfam family "Bacterial small subunit ribosomal RNA", at positions 355 to 932 of the family's 1533-position model. The record is from RNAcentral.
UGGGGAAUAUUGGACAAUGGGCGAAAGCCUGAUCCAGCCAUGCCGCGUGUGUGAAGAAGGUCUUCGGAUUGUAAAGCACUUUAAGUUGGGAGGAAGGGCAGUAAGCUAAUACCUUGCUGUUUUGACGUUACCGACAGAAUAAGCACCGGCUAACUUCGUGCCAGCAGCCGCGGUAAUACGAAGGGUGCAAGCGUUAAUCGGAAUUACUGGGCGUAAAGCGCGCGUAGGUGGUUUGAUAAGUUGGAUGUGAAAGCCCCGGGCUCAACCUGGGAAUUGCAUCCAAAACUGUCUGGCUAGAGUAUGGCAGAGGGUGGUGGAAUUUCCUGUGUAGCGGUGAAAUGCGUAGAUAUAGGAAGGAACACCAGUGGCGAAGGCGACCACCUGGGCUAAUACUGACACUGAGGUGCGAAAGCGUGGGGAGCAAACAGGAUUAGAUACCCUGAUAGUCCACGCCGUAAACGAUGUCGACUAGCCGUUGGGAUCCUUGAGAUCUUAGUGGCGCAGCUAACGCAUUAAGUCGACCGCCUGGGGAGUACGGCCGCAAGGUUAAAAACUUAAAUGAAUUGACGGGGUCAUAGCUG